RNAcentral lists this ribosomal RNA (498 nucleotides) under uncultured bacterium. Its description in RNAcentral is "partial 16S ribosomal RNA". It matches the Rfam family "Bacterial small subunit ribosomal RNA", at positions 28 to 507 of the family's 1533-position model. The record is from RNAcentral.
GAUGAACGCUGGCGGCGUGCCUAAUACAUGCAAGUCGAGCGAACAGACGAGGAGCUUGCUCCUCUGACGUUAGCGGCGGACGGGUGAGUAACACGUGGAUAACCUACCUAUAAGACUGGGAUAACUUCGGGAAACCGGAGCUAAUACCGGAUAAUAUAUUGAACCGCAUGGUUCAAUAGUGAAAGACGGUUUUGCUGUCACUUAUAGAUGGAUCCGCGCCGCAUUAGCUAGUUGGUAAGGUAACGGCUUACCAAGGCAACGAUGCGUAGCCGACCUGAGAGGGGGGUCCGCCCACCUGGGAAGAGACACCGGCCCCACCCCCCCGGGGGAGGCGGCGUGAGGAAUUCUCCCGAAAGGGGGCAAGCCCGAGCGGACAACCCCGGGUGGAGGAUGAAGGGUUUCGGGUCCUAAAACCUUUUUUAUGGGGGAAAAAAAAAUUUGUAAGUAACUAUGCACUUCUGGACGGUCCCUAAUAAGAAACCCACGCCUACCCCCGCC